UACGUAGGGGGCAAGCGUUGUCCGGAAUCACUGGGCGUAAAGCGCGCGCAGGCGGUUUCUCACGUCCGGGGUGAAAGCCCAGAGCUCAACUCUGGGACUGCCUUGGAUACGGGGGAACUUGAGGAUCGGAGAGGCAAGGGGAAUUCCACGUGUAGCGGUGAAAUGCGCAGAUAUCAGGAGGAACACCGGUGGCGAAGGCGGGUCUCUGGGCCGAUAUUGACGCUGAGGAGCGAAAGCGUGGGGAGCGAACAGG
RNAcentral lists this ribosomal RNA (253 nucleotides) under uncultured bacterium. RNAcentral's name for it is "partial 16S ribosomal RNA". It matches the Rfam family "Bacterial small subunit ribosomal RNA", at positions 524 to 776 of the family's 1533-position model. The record is from RNAcentral.